Molecule: ribosomal RNA, 274 nt
Filed under: uncultured bacterium
Lineage: Bacteria
Description: partial 16S ribosomal RNA
Rfam family: Bacterial small subunit ribosomal RNA
Source: RNAcentral
AAACGUAGGGCGCAAGCGUUGCUCGGAAUCACUGGGCGUAAAGCGUGGGUAGGCGGGCUGGUAAGUCGGAUUUGAAAGCCCACGGCUCAACCGUGGAAUUGCAUCCGAUACUGCCAGUCUAGAGUACGGGAGAGGGAGGCGGAAUUCCCGGUGUAGCGGUGAAAUGCUUAGAUAUCGGGAGGAACACCGGUGGCGAAGGCGGCCUCCUGGACCGUUACUGACGCUGAGCCACGAAAGCGUGGGGAGCAAACAGGAUUAGAAACCCUAGUAGUCC